Non-coding RNA from Delphinapterus leucas (beluga whale), 507 nucleotides. The record is from RefSeq and is a predicted model, not a curated record. NCBI's taxonomy places the organism in Eukaryota, Metazoa, Chordata, Mammalia, Artiodactyla, Monodontidae.
AGGCAUUAAUUAUAUAUUUUGGAUACACUUUUGUGGGUUUUAUUAUUGUAAUAUCCUUCACUGUCUUUUGUAUCUCUACAAAAAAGGGCCUUAGGCCCUGCUUCACUGAGAAGACAGACGUCUGUUCUGAUUGCUCCAUUCCCAUGCCAUACAAAUACACCCCUUUUUGCCUACACCUGGCCAGCUGUCAUCCCCUUCUCCUUGGCAUGACACUGGAGACAUGAUCUGCCUCAUAGAGCUGCUGCGAAGGUUAAAUGAAACAAUACUCGCUGGGAACGUAGCCCAGGCCCCUGCCCAUGAUUCGUCAUUGAAGAUCCAGCUCACAGUCUUCUUUCUGUGACAUCUUCCUCAUAGUAUCCAGGCAAAAAGGAUGCCUCCUCCCGCUGUGCACCCAGGGCCCUCUGCUCCUAUCUCCUCUUUAAGGCCGGCCUGGGCUGGAGCUCCUGGAAGGGAGAGACUGUAUGUGCUCAUCUUGGUGAUCAAGUUUGUAACCACAGUCACCAAAAU